CGUAGGUGGCGAGCGUUAUCCGGAUUUAUUGGGCGUAAAGGGUGCGUAGGCGGCGAAUUAAGUAUAAAUUGAAAGCGUGGGGCUCAACUCCAUGAUGGUUUAGAAACUGGUUUGCUGGAGUGCAGGAGAGGUUAGCGGAAUUCCAUGUGUAGCGGUAAAAUGCGUAGAUAUAUGGAGGAACACCAGUGGCGAAGGCGGCUAACUGGCCUGUAACUGACGCUGAGGCACGAAAGCGUGGGGAGCGAAUAGGAUUAGAUACCCCGGUAGUCCCU
This 272-nucleotide ribosomal RNA is filed under the name uncultured prokaryote. RNAcentral's name for it is "partial 16S ribosomal RNA". It matches the Rfam family "Bacterial small subunit ribosomal RNA", at positions 526 to 798 of the family's 1533-position model. The record is from RNAcentral.